Molecule: ribosomal RNA, 501 nt
Filed under: uncultured bacterium
Lineage: Bacteria
Description: bacterial SSU rRNA
Rfam family: Bacterial small subunit ribosomal RNA
Source: RNAcentral
UCAGGAUGAACGCUAGCUACAGGCUAACACAUGCAAGUCGAGGGGCAGCAUUGGAGUAGCAAUACUCAGAUGGCGACCGGCGCACGGGUGAGUAACACGUAUCCAACCUGCCGCUUACUCGGGGAUAGCCUUCCGAAAGAAAGAUUAAUACCCGAUGGUAUAAAGAGUUCGCAUGUUCUCUUUAUUAAAGAAUUUCGGUAAGCGAUGGGGAUGCGUUCCAUUAGAUAGUUGGCGGGGUAACGGCCCACCAAGUCUACGAUGGAUAGGGGUUCUGAGAGGAAGGUCCCCCACAUUGGAACUGAGACACGGUCCAAACUCCUACGGGAGGCAGCAGUGAGGAAUAUUGGUCAAUGGGCGAGAGCCUGAACCAGCCAAAGUAGCGUGAAGGAUGACUGCCCUAUGGGUUGUAAACUUCUUUUAUAAGGGAAUAAAGUGAGGGACGUGUCCCUUUUUGUAUGUACCUUAUGAAUAAGGAUCGGCUAACUCCGUGCCAGCCGCAGC